This 287-nucleotide long non-coding RNA is filed under the name Serinus canaria (Common canary). RNAcentral's name for it is "lncRNA (ENSSCAG00000012529.1)". Lineage: Eukaryota; Metazoa; Chordata; Aves; Passeriformes; Fringillidae. The record is from RNAcentral.
CUUUGCUGUUUGCUUUUUCAGAUCUCUGCCAUGGAUGACUUCUGCCUCUUCUUCCAGCAGGACAUGGAUGUGGCAGCUGCUGAGGCUCUGCACAAGUGGGAAGGAAAUAAAUGUGGGGAUGUAUGUAGUUGCAGCUUCACAGGCUGCCAUCGUGGCAUUGUAAAGUAACUCUAGUUGAGUUUUAGUGGCAGCUACUCCAGAAACCAGACUUGUGACAGCUUCAUGGAUUUUACUCAGUAAUUUAUGUUGUGCUUUGUAAAGCUGCAGACCACUGGAGCUACUGCAGG